Protopterus annectens (West African lungfish) is the source of this 153-nucleotide ribosomal RNA. RefSeq annotates it as 5.8S ribosomal RNA. The record is from RefSeq and is a predicted model, not a curated record. The transcript has a single exon. NCBI's taxonomy places the organism in Eukaryota, Metazoa, Chordata, Ceratodontiformes, Protopteridae.
AACUGUGAGCGGUGGAUAAUUUGGCUCAUGUGGUGAUGAAGAAUGCAGCUAGCUGCAAGAACUAAUGUGAAUUGUAGGAUGCAUUGAUCAUCAACACUUCAAACUCACUUUGUGGCCCUGAGCUACUCCUGGGCUACACCUGUCUGAGGGUCA